Molecule: ribosomal RNA, 396 nt
Filed under: uncultured bacterium
Lineage: Bacteria
Description: bacterial SSU rRNA
Rfam family: Bacterial small subunit ribosomal RNA
Source: RNAcentral
AGUGAACGCUGGCGGCAGGCCUAACACAUGCAAGUCGAGCGGCAGCGCGGGGGCAACCCUGGCGGCGAGCGGCGGACGGGUGAGGAAUGCAUCGGAAUCUACCUCGUUGUGGGGGAUAACGUAGGGAAACUUACGCUAAUACCGCAUACGACCUACGGGUGAAAGUGGGGGACCUUCGGGCCUCACGCGAUGAGAUGAGCCGAUGCCGGAUUAGCUAGUUGGCGGGGUAAAGGCCCACCAAGGCUGAGAUGGGUAGCUGGUCUGAGAGGAUGAUCAGCCACACUGGGACUGAGACACGGCCCAGACUCCUACGGGAGGCAGCAGUGGGGAAUAUUGCGCAAUGGGGGAAACCCUGACGCAGCAACGCCGCGUGGGUGAGAAGGCCUCGGUUGUAAG